Molecule: ribosomal RNA, 234 nt
Filed under: uncultured bacterium
Lineage: Bacteria
Description: partial 16S ribosomal RNA
Rfam family: Bacterial small subunit ribosomal RNA
Source: RNAcentral
UACGUAGGGUGCGAACGUUGUCCGGAAUUAUUGGGCGUAAAGAGCUCGUAGGCGGUCUUGUCGCGUCAUGCUGUGAAAACUCAGGGCUUAACCCUGAGCUUGCAGUAGGGUACGGGCAGACUGAGAGUGCGGUAGGGGAGACUGGAAUUCCUGGGUGAUAGCGGUGAAAUGACGCAGAUAUCGAGGAGGAACACCCGGUGGCGAAGGCGGGUCUCUGGGCCGUAACUGGACGCU